RNAcentral lists this long non-coding RNA (447 nucleotides) under Homo sapiens (human). RNAcentral's name for it is "non-protein coding lnc-RTL1-5:3". The record is from RNAcentral. Lineage: Eukaryota; Metazoa; Chordata; Mammalia; Primates; Hominidae.
UCUGGUUUCAACCUCACCUUCUCCAUGUAUGAGAAGACAAGUCACUUGGAUUCACCAUGCCUCGGUUUCCCCAGAUGGCAAGCAGGACUCAGCCUUUUGUACCUGGUCCAUCAGAGGACGAGCUUUCACGUGUUAGCCAACACCUCCGUCAUCACCAUCAUUGCCAUGAUCAUCGUCCUCAUCACCUUGACACGCUGAGCUUUGUAGCUUAAAAACAAAAUGCCUUUAACAAUGUGCAACAGGUCUAAGAUGCCACCUUUGGGAUCAGAUGGGAGUUUGGGAUUAUUUCUAUUUUCCAAUUGUUCAGCCCCCUCCCACUAAGUGCGAAGCGGAGAGCCAUUAAGUUGCAAUGGAUUUGAUUCACCACGUGGCCCCUCAAAUCCUUUCUGGAACAAGAUUGGAUGUAAAAAUAAAUCAAAUAAAUGCAUUUUCAGCGUGUGCAGCCCA